Molecule: long non-coding RNA, 1365 nt
Filed under: Pan troglodytes (chimpanzee)
Lineage: Eukaryota; Metazoa; Chordata; Mammalia; Primates; Hominidae
Description: long non-coding RNA NONPTRT001304
Source: RNAcentral
UUGCAAUACAAUCAAUCACCUUUAUUCCGGGUUAGAACAAGGCCGUGCACACUGCAGACAGAAGAGCACAAGAUAGGGGCAAUCUCACAGCAAUUGUGGAGUCCUAGAGGUGUGUGUGUUAAGGCAGGUGUCUGCAGCAGUGGCCAGAGGGGCAGGGCACGCUAGGCUGGGCUAGGAGUUAAGAGUACUGUCUAACCAGUCUGGCUUCUUCCUUCUUCCAGCAGCCAGCCCUCCCCUCCCAUUAAAGUUUUACUCCCACAUCCUAAAAGCUCCUAACUUGAACUUUGUCUAAAUAAUCUCUGAGACUGCAUGUGAAUUUAAUGUUUUUUUGAAAAAGCUUUCUUUUUUGUUUGGACUAUGUAGCAAUUUGAUUCUGCCACUCCCUUCACUGUGGCAUUCCCCUCCCACCCCCGCUCUGGCCUAGACAAUAAGUUAAUGCUAGACACCACAAAAAAGGGCAGACAUGGCAGUGCAGUUUUAAUAUACAUAUAUGUAGAAUAUAUAUGUACACACAGUUAGCACGGUCAGGGUGGGGAGGGGCAUCUUGGGGUAGGCAGGAGGCUGGGGUCACUCACUGUACUGUAGUGAUGUGGCUAGGAGGUGUUCACAAGCCCAGGGGGCCAGGAUAUCUAGUAAAGAAGGGUUUCCUAAGUGCCUUCCGGGAUUGAAUUGGGGUGGGGAUCGGUGCAAAGGAAAACACUGUAGUUAACUUCUUUCUGGCUUGGGAUGUUCUUCACCAAGGAGAGAGGGAAGGUUGCCUACAAUAACCAAGUUGGGACCCUAUAGAUGGUGGUGUCAGGAUUCGUGUUAAAACCUAAGGGUCUCAUUCUUCAGCCUCCCUAGGUUUAGAGUGCAACAGUCUGAGUAGGAACAACUGAGUGGAAGAGGGGGCUCCCCUCUCUCUGCCCUCAUCCCCAUCUCAGGCUCAGUGGUACAUGUUCCCAGCACAGUCUCUCCAGAGUACAGGUGGGUGGGGGCAUCUAAUGCUGGCUGCUCCAUGGGGUUUGAUCUUAGGGACCAGGAAAGGAUCCCUGGCUCAUACCUAUGCUAGGCCCAUGAGAGGCAAAAAGGGACCUGCUGGUACUCAGGAAACAGCUAGUCCAGCACAGGAGUACAAACAUGGAACUCUGGCUUUUCUUUGCCCCUUCCAGGUGGGGGAUGAGUGGUCUCUUUGCCUUCCCUCCCCACUGCUUUUCCCUGGAUUCACCUACCUCUCCCAUACCUUACCCCUAUGUCAGCUCCUCAAUGUAGGAAAAUGCAGGUCCUUUCUGCUUCCACACUUUAAAGAUAUGGGGGGAGUGGAGGAAAGGGAAGUAGGAGGAAUGUGCUGAUUUCUAUUUGCAUAGAAAUAGCCCCCACCUCUCC